Molecule: ribosomal RNA, 425 nt
Filed under: uncultured bacterium
Lineage: Bacteria
Description: partial 16S ribosomal RNA
Rfam family: Bacterial small subunit ribosomal RNA
Source: RNAcentral
GUGGGGAAUAUUGGACAAUGGGCGAAAGCCUGAUCCAGCAAUGCCGCGUGAGUGAUGAAGGCCCUAGGGUUGUAAAGCUCUUUUACCCGGGAUGAUAAUGACAGUACCGGGAGAAUAAGCUCCGGCUAACUCCGUGCCAGCAGCCGCGGUAAUACGGAGGGAGCUAGCGUUGUUCGGAAUUACUGGGCGUAAAGCGCGCGUAGGCGGUUUUCCAAGUCAGGGGUGAAAGCCCGGGGCUCAACCCCGGAAUAGCCCUUGAAACUGGAAGACUAGAAUCUUGGAGAGGUCAGUGGAAUUCCGAGUGUAGAGGUGAAAUUCGUAGAUAUUCGGAAGAACACCAGUGGCGAAGGCGACUGACUGGACAAGUAUUGACGCUGAGGUGCGAAAGCGUGGGGAGCAAACAGGAUUAGAAACCCCUGUAGUCC